RNAcentral lists this ribosomal RNA (468 nucleotides) under uncultured bacterium. RNAcentral's name for it is "partial 16S ribosomal RNA". It matches the Rfam family "Bacterial small subunit ribosomal RNA", at positions 28 to 507 of the family's 1533-position model. The record is from RNAcentral.
GACGAACGCUGGCGGCGUGCCUAACACAUGCAAGUCGAACGGAAAGGCCCUGCUUUUGUGCGGUGCUCGAGUGGCGAACGGGUGAGUAACACGUGAGUAACCUGCCCUUGACUUUGGGAUAACUUCAGGAAACUGGGGCUAAUACCGCAUAGGAUCUCCUGCUGCAUGGUGGGGGUUGGAAAGUUUCGGGGGUUGGUGAUGGACUCGCGGCUUAUCGGCUCGUUGGUUGGGUAGUGGCUAACCAAGGCAUUGACCGGUAGCCGACCUGGGAGGGGAGCCGGGCCAGUUAGGACGGGGAUGAGGCACAGACCCGAACGGGAGGCAACGGUGGAGAGGGUAACACAGUGGACGGAAGGCUGGUGCAAUAACGCCGCGUGGGGGAUGAGAGGCAGGGGGUAGUGAACCGAAGCCGCCUGAGACGGGGCGAGAAUGACGGUACUGGGUGAAGAAGCACCGGCUAACUACGUG